This is a non-coding RNA of Pseudonaja textilis, 100 nucleotides long. The record is from RefSeq and is a predicted model, not a curated record. Lineage: Eukaryota; Metazoa; Chordata; Lepidosauria; Squamata; Elapidae.
AUGACAAGACACGAUAAAAGUCACAACAUGUUGCCUGCCGCACGCAGCCUGCUUUUCUUAUCAAAUGUCUUCCCAGCUGUGGCUAAUGAAGGGAAUCAGG